GGCUAUAUAUAUAAUCAAUAUAUAUAGCUAACAUAGCUAUAUAUAUUGAUUGAAGUAUUAGUGUUGGAUCAGGAAAAUUAUAUCAAAUGGCUAAUGUAAUUAAUGUAUAAAGGGAUCAAUGUAUACGUAAGAAUACACAAAGACUAUACCAACUUUUAUAUUAUCUAUAACGAUAUUGAUGACAGGAUUGGUUACCCCUGUAAAGUUGUAGUGGGUGGGUGUUGGUGAAAUCUGAGAGAACGUCAGCGUCGCUGUGUGGUGGACAGCUGCAGUGUUUCUCGGUACCUUUUUCUAACAUAUUUCUCAAAUGCUUCUGUUGUCCUGCACUGUUUGCCAACUCAACAGCUGCCUAAUUUAAUGGCAUAUCCUUAGCAAUAAAAAAAACGCAAAAUCUGACCAUGAAUAUGAAUAAAGAAGGGAUUGGUUUCUAUUACAUUUUAUACCGUGACAACAGGGUGAGAGUGACAUACCGCAGUCAUGACGUCAUCGAUGACGUUUCAGUGAGCUAUCCUGAAAGCGGCUUUACACCUGGCAAUUCCUAGUCGCCAAUACAGUCGCGACGAUCUAGCGGCUAGACCAGCUGGGUGCUCUCGGGAGCAAGUACGUUCACACGUGGGAGGAGAAGGAGAAGACGUAAUCUGCUAGUAAAUGCAAGGGCAUGAAUUCAUCCCAGACACCCCAAAAGGCUAGUACCAUAUCUUAAAACCACAAUGAAUCUGGUCCAUUAGCCUAAUAUUGUAGAAAUACUUUAUAGUAUAUCAUCCUAACGGACUCCUCCUCCCCCAAUUGGAAGCCAGCGUGACGUCAUGGCAUGCAUAAGAAAGCUGUUUAACGAAACACACGAGAGAAAAAAAAAAUCCUGCUCCCGUCGGGGAUUAAACCAGUGAUCAACGAGGCGGGUAUGCCCCGCCUUAUCCACUCGGCCACGGAGACGCCCUUCUCAUGAGGCAAGCUAGGGAAGAGUUGGUCAUCAGGGCGGCCGGUCAGCUGCAAUACAAAGUAUAGCCAGCGCAGAGUAAAUAAUUAUAAGAAAUACUAAGCUUUGCAAAGUCCUGUUCGUUAAGGUAUGUCCUUAGAGCAAGAGAGUUUCGAUAAACAAGUUUUGGAUCACUUACUUAACCGACGCGUCCUUGUCAUCUUAAGUAUAAACGUGAACGGGCUAAGUCUUUACCGACGCGUCCUUCCCAACAAACCAGCACCGUCGGCAGAAGGGCGCCCACCGUCAGCAGAAUUCCUGACGUCAAAUCGACGGAGGGCCUCCGUACUCCAACGACUUUAAUUAUCGUCUUCUGCAGUGACAUGCUGUAUGUGCGUGUGUAAAAGACGUUUUUAUUUAUUUAUUUUUUUUUUUUUUAAAUGUGGCCCUAAGGUAUCUAUGUGAUGGAUAAUGAAUCGAUCGGUCUUUCGAGAAACUGCAAACGACCAUGGGCAUAUAGUAUAUACACUUCUGUACACACACACACACACACACACACACACACACACACACACACACACAUAGCACAAUUAACAUUCACCAGUGACGUGAAUCCCUCUUCGAUUGAUUUUUUUGUAAAUCAAUCAUUGUGUUAUCAUUAUUAAUGUAUGUAAAUUAAAAUGAACUUGGGUACUUCGUGGAGUUCUAUACUCAUAAUGUGAUGCGAAAAAAAAAGUCGGGUGAUGUGUUCCCUGCGACACGAGUCAGUGUGCACUGUGACGUGGGCGGCAGUGGGUGUGUGACGUGUGUGUUUCUGUGCGAUAACGUGUCCGUGGGCCUAGGAGAACGCAUAGCCUACUGCAUAAUAUACCCAGAGAGACGAAAGGAGUCACAUCGCUGCCGCUUCUCCACUCCCGGGGCCCCUCCAUCUCGGACGUCACGAAGCCACGUCACCACCUUGCCAGUGGUCCCUGGGCCUCUCCUUCCAGGACUCCUUGUGGACAACGUGACGCUACGCCGGGAUUGCCAUACCUGCCAUGUGUGUUGAGGAGACGAUUAAAACGUAAAACGUUA
Long non-coding RNA from Eriocheir sinensis (Chinese mitten crab), 1990 nucleotides. RefSeq lists it as uncharacterized. The record is from RefSeq and is a predicted model, not a curated record. NCBI's taxonomy places the organism in Eukaryota, Metazoa, Arthropoda, Malacostraca, Decapoda, Varunidae. The transcript is spliced from 3 exons.